RNAcentral lists this long non-coding RNA (1083 nucleotides) under Canis lupus familiaris (dog). RNAcentral describes it as "lncRNA (ENSCAFG00000052442.1)". The record is from RNAcentral. Lineage: Eukaryota; Metazoa; Chordata; Mammalia; Carnivora; Canidae.
AUGGCAGUCACCUCGUCACACGGCCUAAGAGGGGACCCUGGCUCCAGUCCCCCCCGAGGAGGGGGCCCCAGGCCAGCGUCUUCUCCACUCUGGCCUCAGCCUCCUCAUCGGGAAGUCGUGGCCCAGCUCCAGGAUGUGGAGCGGCUGGGUGGCCGGGGGAGGGGGUCAGGUCCUGGAGGGUGCAGGACCUGGGAGCAGGUGCUGGGGGGCAGGUGGGGUUGGGUCCUGGGGGGUGGGGGCCGAGUGCUGGGGGGCCGGGGGCGUGUGUGGAGAACAGGCCGUGGGGCUCCGCAGCCAGGCGCAGAGCGUCGUGUCACCCGGGCCUCAGGAGACCGCAGCCGCACCUGCCCGCACCUGCCCGGACGCAGAGCCCUCCCCGCGGGUCGCUGCCCCGCCCCAGCCAGUGAGGAUGGUGGAGAUGCUGCCCCCCAGCCCUCCAAGGGUGUCUGCAGCUGGGGGGGGCCGGGUCCCCAAAUGCCCCCGAAGGGGAUGCGGCCCCAAGAGAGGGACGUGGUCCAGGCAAGAAGCUGUGGGUUUGCGAUAUGCCUGCAGGGCGGCCCGGCCGGUGCGAGGACACCUUUAGGGCCACCACGGCAGCGAAAGAGGCUAGAGGUCCGUGGGACCGCACGUGAGGUCCUUCAGGGGGCGGGCAGGGCGAGAAGCCGCGGGGAGCAGCUGCUGUGUGUCCCAUUACGCGAGGGCGCUGCAGGAGGCCUGCGAGGGUGCUCCCCCCCAGGAGGGUGCUUCCCUUCCCCCACGAAGGUGCUUCCCUUACCCCCCUACAAGGGUGCUUCCCCCCCACGAGGGUGCUCCCCCUACGAGGGUGCCCCCCCCAUGAGAGUGCUCCCCCCACAAGGGUGCUUUCCCCCCCUGAGGGUGCUUCUCCCCAUGAGGGUGCUUCCCUCCCUGAGGGUGCUCUCCCCACGAGGGUGCUCCCCCCAGAGGUCUUUGUCUCACUCCGAGCCCUUUGCUGCCCUGAAGCGGCCACCAGGGUGUGGCAGACAAUCGUGGCAAAGACCUGGAUCCAAGGACAUCCGCGGGGUCUGGGCUGGGGCUCCUCUGGGGCGCCCACACUCCACCUGA